AGAACUUGCUUUCCAAAAUGCAGGCCACAGUUAAACAUGAGUCAUAGUAGUAGGUGACAGUUUCAGCUGUCCAAGACCAGAACCAACUGAUAUCCAAGUCCAGAACCAAGACUAACUUCUACAAACAUUUAGAAUAAAACUGGGUUGCUACAAACAUUUAUACUAAAAACGAGAACACACAUUUGGAGUGAACCCAAUGGUAUCCAAGUACAGAACCACACAUUUUGAGUGAACCAACUGCUGUUGCAUGGCACAGGAUCACACAUUUCAGAUUUCAGGAACCAAAUUGCAGUUGUACAUGGCUUGGAUCUUCUUCUUUGGAGUUAUCUUUUUCACAGCUCUCCUUAAUUUCCUAGGUGGGGACAGUGUUGAAACAACCUAUGUUGCACAUUCCACCGGUGGCACAAGUUCAUUCACAGGAGGCACUGGUACAAUUUCAAGUGAGGAAGAUGGAAUGCUAACAAGCUGCUGUGAGGAAGAAUCCACACUUACUUGGGGCUGCUCAGCAAAUGGCUCAGGCUCUUUUGGAAACCACUUUUUAGUCAUGCAUCUUGAUGUACCAAAAUGUUUGUAAGAAACUGCAUCAAAUCAGUGUUCAUAAGAAACAUAAUUUCUCUAGUGUAGGUCAAACAUAAACUGCAAGGUAUGAUUUCAUAUCACUUGGGAAAUGUACCAAAUGCUCCCAAUGGAACAUCAACAUGAUCAUGUUAAACUGCAUCAAGUACAUGUUAUCUAUUAUUUUAGUGAAAAUCUG
RNAcentral lists this long non-coding RNA (754 nucleotides) under Zea mays. Its description in RNAcentral is "long non-coding RNA (ZMAY_LNC003805)". The record is from RNAcentral. Lineage: Eukaryota; Viridiplantae; Streptophyta; Magnoliopsida; Poales; Poaceae.